UACGUAGGGUGCGAGCGUUAAUCGGAAUUACUGGGCGUAAAGCGUGCGCAGGCGGUUCUCCAAGUCCGUUGUGAAAGCCCCGGGCUCAACCUGGGAAUGGCAGUGGAAACUAGGGGACUUGAACCUGGCAGAGGGGGGUGGAAUUCCACGUGUAGCAGUGAAAUGCGUAGAGAUGUGGAGGAACACCGAUGGCGAAGGCAGCCCCCUGGGCUGAGAUUGACGCUCAGGCACGAAAGCGUGGGGAGCAAACAGG
This 253-nucleotide ribosomal RNA is filed under the name uncultured bacterium. Its description in RNAcentral is "partial 16S ribosomal RNA". It matches the Rfam family "Bacterial small subunit ribosomal RNA", at positions 524 to 776 of the family's 1533-position model. The record is from RNAcentral.